AACCGCCGUAUGCGGACCCGCAUGUACGGUGGUGUGGGGAGGGGGAGCUAAUCACUCCCCCUUACCCGAU
Non-coding RNA from Lentisphaerae bacterium GWF2_49_21, 70 nucleotides. NCBI's taxonomy places the organism in Bacteria, Pseudomonadati, Lentisphaerota. The record is from Rfam.